GCAUGGUGAUGAUGAACUUAAGAUCUUCCGAUUGAUUCGUCAUGACAGGAAAAUAAUACCUCCUACUCAUUCUGA
Small nucleolar RNA from Vitis vinifera (wine grape), 75 nucleotides. It matches the Rfam family "Small nucleolar RNA Z105". Rfam says of the family: This family consists of several snoRNA Z105 sequences which are members of the C/D class of snoRNA which contain the C (UGAUGA) and D (CUGA) box motifs. This family seems to be found exclusively in plants. Lineage: Eukaryota; Viridiplantae; Streptophyta; Magnoliopsida; Vitales; Vitaceae. The record is from Rfam.